RNAcentral lists this transfer RNA (69 nucleotides) under Aedes aegypti (yellow fever mosquito). It matches the Rfam family "tRNA". Rfam says of the family: Transfer RNA (tRNA) molecules are approximately 80 nucleotides in length. Their secondary structure includes four short double-helical elements and three loops (D, anti-codon, and T loops). The record is from Rfam by way of RNAcentral. Lineage: Eukaryota; Metazoa; Arthropoda; Insecta; Diptera; Culicidae.
GCUCGGUAGCUUAGUUGGUAGAGCACUCGUCUAGCAUACAAGAGUCGUGGGUACGAAUCCCACCCAGCA